GAUGAAGAACGUAGCGAAAUGCGAUAAGUAAUGUGAAUUGCAGAAUUCAGUGAAUCAUCGAAUCUUUGAACGCACAUUGCGCCCGUCAGUAUUCUGGCGGGCAUGCCUGUUCGAGCGUCAUUACGCCCCUCAAGUCCCCUGUGGACUUGGUGUUGGGGAUCGGCGAGGCUGGUUUGCCAGCACAGCCGUCCCUUAAAUUAAUUGGCGGUCUCGCCGUGGCCCUCCUCUGCGCAGUAGUAAAACACUCGCAACAGGAGCCCGGCGCGGUCCACUGCCGUAAAACCCCCCAACUUUUUAUAGUUGACCUCGAAUCAGGUAGGACUACCCGCUGAACUUAAGCAUAUCAAUAAGCGGAGGA
RNAcentral lists this unclassified non-coding RNA (358 nucleotides) under soil metagenome. RNAcentral describes it as "partial contains 5.8S ribosomal RNA, internal transcribed spacer 2, and large subunit ribosomal RNA". The stretch from base 1 to 120 matches the Rfam family "5.8S ribosomal RNA", at positions 35 to 154 of the family's 154-position model. The record is from RNAcentral.